AUCACUUCUCAGCCUUUUGGCUAAGAUCAAGUGUAAUUCAUCCAUUUUAUCUAAUUUUUGUAACAAAUCGGCAUCAACUUGCCUAUUUAGCCAAUCAUCAAAUUAUCACAUGAAUGGAAGGUCAUAGACACAUAUCUGGAUGUUGAUCUUUGACAAAAUUAA
Molecule: small nuclear RNA, 162 nt
Organism: Heterocephalus glaber (naked mole-rat)
Lineage: Eukaryota; Metazoa; Chordata; Mammalia; Rodentia; Bathyergidae
Gene: U2
Rfam family: U2 spliceosomal RNA
About the family: U2 is a small nuclear RNA (snRNA) component of the spliceosome (involved in pre-mRNA splicing). Complementary binding between U2 snRNA (in an area lying towards the 5' end but 3' to hairpin I) and the branchpoint sequence (BPS) of the intron results the bulging out of an unpaired adenosine, on the BPS, which initiates a nucleophilic attack at the intronic 5' splice site, thus starting the first of two transesterification reactions that mediate splicing.
Source: Ensembl